This 532-nucleotide ribosomal RNA is filed under the name uncultured bacterium. RNAcentral describes it as "partial 16S ribosomal RNA". It matches the Rfam family "Bacterial small subunit ribosomal RNA", at positions 355 to 881 of the family's 1533-position model. The record is from RNAcentral.
UGGGGAAUUUUGGACAAUGGGGGGAAACCCUGAUCCAGCCAUCCCGCGUGUGCGAUGAAGGCCUUCGGGUUGUAAAGCACUUUUGGCAGGAAAGAAACGUCGCGGGUUAAUACCCCGCGAAACUGACGGUACCUGCAGAAUAAGCACCGGCUAACUACGUGCCAGCAGCCGCGGUAAUACGUAGGGUGCAAGCGUUAAUCGGAAUUACUGGGCGUAAAGCGUGCGCAGGCGGUUCGGAAAGAAAGAUGUGAAAUCCCAGAGCUUAACUUUGGAACUGCAUUUUUAACUACCGGGCUAGAGUGUGUCAGAGGGAGGUGGAAUUCCGCGUGUAGCAGUGAAAUGCGUAGAUAUGCGGAGGAACACCGAUGGCGAAGGCAGCCUCCUGGGAUAACACUGACGCUCAUGCACGAAAGCGUGGGGAGCAAACAGGAUUAGAUACCCUGGUAGUCCACGCCCUAAACGAUGUCAACUAGCUGUUGGGGCCUUCGGCCUUGGUAGCGCAGCUAACGCGUGAAGUUGACCGCCUGGGAGU